This is a long non-coding RNA of Trichoplusia ni (cabbage looper), 1588 nucleotides long. RefSeq lists it as uncharacterized. NCBI's taxonomy places the organism in Eukaryota, Metazoa, Arthropoda, Insecta, Lepidoptera, Noctuidae. The record is from RefSeq and is a predicted model, not a curated record. The transcript is spliced from 3 exons.
AGGUAUUUAUACUGUUGCUUGCACGAAUCUGUUGGUCUAGUUUCCUUAAGCGCAUGAGGUGUCAGGUUCGAAUAGGGAUCGCUCCAAAAACUGUGACUACUUUUUAUGUUGAAAAAUACCUACACAGUGCAUCUCGAAGUCAGGAAGUUUGACGCCUUAGCUUAGUCGAUACGUAGUUACUAAACGGAUGAGGAACCUGGUAUUGGGGAUGACGAAGAAAAGUGGGCAGAAAUCGUAGAUUAACGGAAAUGGACGAAAAGGGUAUCAUUCAUGAAUAAUGAUAGCGCUACGUAGUCCGGUCAUAUUAUCUACUCAUAAAAGUUUUCCACAGAGUUAUCAAUCUCAGCUGACAAAUACUCUGUCCAGUUAAUAGUUUUGUUUGUCUAAGGCGUUUGAGUUGUACAAUCAACUACACAACGCGUCUACACCAGAAUAAUUUUAAUAAUUUAUCUGCUUCCAACCAGUAUUUCUAAUUUAUCAAUAGUUUGGAUCUUUCAAACGUCAGUCGGAAUGGCCGAAAACCGUUCCACAGUGAGAUCUCUGGUGGACAACGCGACCUCAUAGGUCACCCCCCUUAGCUACGAGGCAUCGAGAAGAACGAAGAUUGUCAAUCUUUCACAGCAAAGAGAGAGAAGAAUUGAUGUGGUUUUCCAAAGGGGAUGGUUGAAGGGAUGGAGGGUGACAUAGGCUAUAUUGUCUCUUUCUCGCUCCCCGCAUCCCUACAAUGAGGUUGAAUCCAUCUGUGACUUACAGAAAAUCGCAUUCUCUGAGUACAGGUUAAUAAGAACAUAAUUUAAUUUAACAAAAAAUAAAUAAACUUCCGAGAUUUCUUUUGUGUUUUCAAUGAGUAUCCGUGUUACCAAGAAUUCAAAGUGAGCGAAGCCUCAUGCAAAAGCUAGUUUUGUAUCAAACGUUUAAGGUGGUCGAGGUAAAGGGACACAAUAAACGCUAAUAAGUAUACUCUGCGGUGGAGAUUAUUAGUCCCAUAUUUUCACAAAAAUGUCCCUUCAUCGCUGUCUGCUAAAAGGCAGACAGAAAGGCUGCUACAGCGCUCGACUGUCGACUGUCUGAUGACCGAUCUUCGAUGUCGAUGUCGAUCCGACAUAUUAUGUCGGACUCUCGGCGACUUAAAACACCCCGGGUCCCUUCAAUUGCCUGAGCCAGAGCUACGGGGUCGCUCUCUCAAUUCGCAUGUUGUCCUCGACGCUGACCGACCUAAGCCUGAUUUGGGACUAUGAAAGCUUCACAUUUCAUCACUACGUCAAUUUAUAAAUAUGAACAAUAAUAAAACAAUAAAUUAACUGCAUAAUUUACUAACCACUAAGAAUCACAGUCAACAAGAUGUUACAACAAAAAAUAUUUUUAUACAUUUUCACAUAUUUUUUAAAGUAAAAAUAUGAUCCUACCUACUUAUAUCACUUAUAAGUAGCGAAUUAAGUAACAAUAAUGAGGUCUGGUUGCACUAAUUAAAUCUAGUUCUAACUAGCUAAAACAAAAAAUAUGAAAAUUUAACAUUUGGUGAAAUUAGAUACUUGACCAAACGUAAAAGUUCUAUUGCAAGGGUUUUUUAUCAUAUCUUUUAUGAACU